UCCCACCUGGGUAACUGGGUGGGGGAAGCGGCGAAAGGGGCAGUAAGGCAUGGGUAACCUGCCUCGGGGAUGGGGAUAGCCCUCCUAACGGAGGGGUAAUACCCAGCGAUCUGGCGAGAAGGCAUCUUCUUGCCAGGAAACGAAUCUCGCCUCGAGAGGGGCUCAUGUGGUAUUAGCUAGUUGGUGAGGUAAUGGCUCACCAAGGCCAAGAUGCCUAGCAGGUGUGAGAGCACGACCUGCGCCACUGGCACUGGGACACUGGCCAGACUCCUACGGGAGGCUGCAGUCGAGGAUCUUCGGCAAUGGGCGCAAGCCUGACCGAGCGACGCCGCGUGUGCGAUGAAGGCCUUCGGGUUGUAAAGCACUGUCGAGGGGGAGAAAAGCCCGCAAGGGUCUGAUCUAUCCCUGGAGGAAGCACGGGCUAAGUUCGUGCCAGCAGCCGCGGUAAGACGAACCGUGCGAACGUUGUUCGGAAUCACUGGGCUUAAAGGGCGCGUAGGCGGGCAGUCAAGUCUGUGGUGAAAUCCUCCGGCUCAACCGGAGAAUAGCUGGAGAUACUGACUGUCUCGAGGGGGGUAGGGGCAUGUGGAACUUCCGGUGGAGCGGUGAAAUGCGUAGAUAUCGGAAGGAACGCCGGUGGCGAAAGCGACGUGCUGGACCCUUUCUGACGCUGAGGCGCGAAAGCCAGGGGAGCAAACGGGAUUAGAUACCCCGGUAGUCCUGGCCCUAAACGAUGGGUACUAGAUUGUGGACUGACAUGGGUUCACAGUCGAAGCAAAAGUGUUAAGUACCCCGCCUGGGGAGUAUGGU
This 810-nucleotide ribosomal RNA is filed under the name uncultured Planctomycetota bacterium. RNAcentral describes it as "bacterial SSU rRNA". It matches the Rfam family "Bacterial small subunit ribosomal RNA", at positions 69 to 886 of the family's 1533-position model. The record is from RNAcentral. Lineage: Bacteria; Pseudomonadati; Planctomycetota.